Molecule: long non-coding RNA, 1236 nt
Organism: Mesocricetus auratus (golden hamster)
Lineage: Eukaryota; Metazoa; Chordata; Mammalia; Rodentia; Cricetidae
Exons: 2
Source: RefSeq, a predicted model, not a curated record
GGGAGGGCAUGGCAGACAGAAGUAAGGAGAGCUGUAUGGAGGAGAGCAUGGUUUACAGGCCAGGCAGCUACAGAGGAGGACAGUGUGCAAAGGCCUUGAGUUAGUGCUGCCUAUAUGAUUGAUGUGUGAGGAAGAGGAACCAUCUACUACAACAUGGGGAAUCCUCCAGUGGCCAAGCUCUCAAAGAAUGACGGUCAGCUGCCAACAGCCCCCAGUGCGGGGCAGGUCCUCACGAGUUCCUCUCCUGUCCGUGCUGGAACUUCGGCUGGCUGGCUCCUGUGCAGGUCACCAGAGUUGCAGUGAGUUCAUGAGCACCGGGGUGGCGUCUCCCGGAAGACAGCACUCCGCUUUCCUCCCCAGCCUCUCUUACUCUCUGUCCGCUUCGUCUUCUACGAUGCUACCGAACCUUCCGGUUUGCCGUUCAUAAAUAGGAACUGCCAGGGCUGAGCACUCACAGUCUCUCAGCUCAGACUUUGGCGUUGGGAGCCGCUGCAGAAACUGCUGCCUACCGCAGAAGGAAGCUGCUCUGGGCGCAGGUGAGGCAAGGCCUGUAGCACGUGUGGAUUCCUGCUCCCUAUGCCGGCAGAUAGUAGACGCUCAGGCUGGAGGGCUGCCUGGAGAGCAGGCCGUGAGAUGCCCAGAUUGGACCAGAGCGGCAACAGUCACAUUUAGAUAGACCCUGCUCUGGGCCUCUCCCAGAUAGAUUUCCUGCCAUCCAACAACAUCCGGCAAGGCUGAAAAUUGGGACUGUCUGUCCCCACAGAGGACUGCUCUGAGCCUGGUUUCCAGAACUGUCUUUGCCGCAUUGGAAGAUGGGAUCUCCUAGGGGUGUGGUGAGAACCCAUCUUUGGGGGUGUGGUGAGCAGUCAUCUCCCAGGGGUGCAGUGAGCACACAGGAUGCGGACAUGCUGGUGUGGAUGGAAACAGGCUUCACACGUGUAGCUCAUGUGUUCUCGUCCCGCCUUUCCGCACUCCCGCAAAACACAGACAGCACUGAGGGCUGAUUUUGUGUAAUUUGGUCAAGCUUGUCAUAUUGCUUAAACCUCCCCCACCCUCUGGGAAAUUCAAGCUGAAAAACUAUUAGAAAUAAUGAGAGAUCAGUAAGGCAGCCAGCUACAAAAAUAAAUGCACAAAAAUCAAUACCUUUCCUAUGUCCAACAGUAACCACUUAGGAAAAAAAAUAAUGGAAAAGAAAGAUCUCAUUCGCAAUAAAAUGGGAGACGUUUAUCACCCCAA